RNAcentral lists this long non-coding RNA (779 nucleotides) under Mus caroli (Ryukyu mouse). RNAcentral's name for it is "lncRNA (MGP_CAROLIEiJ_G0003005.1)". Lineage: Eukaryota; Metazoa; Chordata; Mammalia; Rodentia; Muridae. The record is from RNAcentral.
CUCAUCCCACUCUGAGGCGAAGGAAGGUGAUUUCUCCAGCCUCUUCUUCCCGAUGCUGCAGUUGGACAAGGACUCGCUGCGACUCCCCAUUGUGGCGUCCUCCGUGGGGGAGCAGGUCAGGAGGUCAGAGUCAGACUUAGACAAACUGCGGCUGAGUUUGAGCUCAGCUUUGGGCUUGCUGGUGGGAGGGGCUCUGCUUCUGGGCCCGCUCUGGUCUUCUUCCUCGGCACCAGCAGGGCGCAGAGGUACUGUGUGAGUCAAUGCAUCGAGGUAUGUUCUGCUAGCCAGGGCUGUCAGGACUUAAGUAUGUAAGGGAUUCUCCCCACGUCCUCUGUACGCUCCCUGGUAUCUCAAUUCCGUGUGAACAUAACCUUAGCCUGAAAAUGCAGAUGAAACGUGUAACUGAAAACUAAAAGUAAUGCUUUAGUGUUUUUGUUUGUUUUCUUCUAAGGCAUGGUCUCACUAUGUAGCCCUGGCUGUCCUGGAAUUCAUUCUGUAGACCAGGCUAGCCCUAGCCUUGAACUCACAGAGAUCUACCUGCCUCUGCUUCCUAAGUGCUAGGAUUACAGGUGUGUGUCAUGUCUAACCUUCUCCAUCUUUUGGGUUCAUCCUUUCUUCCUUUCUUCCUUCCUUUUUUUGUGUUUUGCACAUUAAAGAUUUAUUUAUUGUAUGUAUGUGAGUACACUGCAGCUGUCUUCAGACACACCAGAAGAGGGCAUUGGAUCCUAUUACAGAUGGUUGUGAGCCACCAUGUGGUUGCUGGGAUUUGAACUCAGGAC